UGUCAGAGUAGGGUCAAGAAGAUUAGGCUAAACAUUAAUAGAACAAUUUAUGAAAUGGUAGCACAAGGUUUUCUAUGCUGAGUCAUCAACCCUUGGCAUAGACCUUUGGGUAGAGAGAUAAAGGGAAAAUCCUGGAAUCAUUUUAGAAACAAGACAAUGCAGCAAUAUUGGAAUGUUGGCAAGCAGUAGAUGGAUUAACUUGGAUGGGUCAAAUGGCCUCCCUCAUCCUUGAGCGUGAGACAGAAAGAAAAAAAAAACUCAACUAAGCUGUCUCACUUCAAUGUUAUCUAACAAUUUCUACUGGAAAUUCGUAGAUAGAUGAAUGUUGAAGACUGGGCAGAAAGACAGCUUUGGUCUUGGUUGUGACACUACCAUGUUAGGGGGGUGCCUGUCAGUACUCCCUUUCUAAGAUCACAAAGCACUUCAAUAAUUGCAAAACUGUACUCCAAUAAGGAGCCAAUACCAUCAGAAAAGGAAGGAAAGAAGGUGAAAAUAUUGUGAUAAAAUUCAUUAGAAAAAUCAUUUGAAUUCAUAAAUAGAUUUAACUUAAAAGGUUUGAAAAUAUAAUCACAGGUCAUAGUCAGUUAUUACUCUAGCACACCAGAUGUUCCCUCUUGCUAAAGCUGCAGCAGCUGCACAAAUACCUGAUAGUCAUUUUCUCCUGUUGCAGAUGUAAUUAAGAGGUUUAAAAUAAGGUUUAUUUUUGGAUUUAUUGCACUUCAUAUAGCUCCCACUAGGCUUUUUCAACAUUAUAUUUCGUGCUGAUAAUGCAGGAACGCAGCUUCAUUUCAUUCUGUAACCAAAUAUAGCUUCUAUAUCCUGACAUUAUUGUAUGCAUAAUGAGGAUCUACAAAAAAAAACAGGACUGUACUGAUAUAUUACCUUUCAUGACUUUGCAGAAUUCGUAUUCUGAAGGGGGUCAACAUUCAAACAUUAUGAACAUUACCCAACUGUGACCCAGAUUAAAGAUACACUAAUAACUAAAGAAAUACAAAGAUGGUGGUGGAAUUGUGAGGCUGGCAUCUGGACAUGAUCCAGCACAGGCAAAUGGCAGUCCAUAGCAAUCCCUCUUCAACCAGACCAUGAGGAAGACAACGAGGGAGGCAAAGGAGACAAUAUCAGGACCGAGGAGGAAAGUGCUGAAGCAAAGGAGAUGAAGACAAAGACCCCCUCCAUCCCCCAUUUUUUCACUCCGCCCAAUAAAUCCUAUUUCCAUAUCACUGCA
This is a long non-coding RNA of Rhincodon typus (whale shark), 1225 nucleotides long. RefSeq lists it as uncharacterized. The record is from RefSeq and is a predicted model, not a curated record. Lineage: Eukaryota; Metazoa; Chordata; Chondrichthyes; Orectolobiformes; Rhincodontidae. The transcript has 2 exons.